This 253-nucleotide ribosomal RNA is filed under the name uncultured bacterium. RNAcentral's name for it is "partial 16S ribosomal RNA". It matches the Rfam family "Bacterial small subunit ribosomal RNA", at positions 524 to 776 of the family's 1533-position model. The record is from RNAcentral.
UACAGAGGGGGCAAGCGUUGUUCGGAAUUACUGGGCGUAAAGGGCGCGUAGGCGGCCUUCUAAGUCGAACGUGAAAUCCCCGGGCUCAACCCGGGAACUGCGUCCGAUACUGGAAGGCUUGAAUCCGGGAGAGGGAUGCGGAAUUCCAGGUGUAGCGGUGAAAUGCGUAGAUAUGUGGAGGAACACCGAUGGCGAAGGCAGCCCCCUGGGAUGUGACUGACGCUCAUGUACGAAAGCGUGGGGAGCAAACAGG